This is a long non-coding RNA of Homo sapiens (human), 426 nucleotides long. RefSeq lists it as uncharacterized. The record is from RefSeq and is a predicted model, not a curated record. The transcript has 3 exons. Lineage: Eukaryota; Metazoa; Chordata; Mammalia; Primates; Hominidae.
GAAGCAACACAUAUGCAGCUGCUAGAAGAGGAGUGUAAAGGAGAGCUGGUGGCUUUGGAAGGUUGCUGUUUAUAUGUCUGCUGAAGGAUAGGGGAUCCUAUUCAUCAGUGGCAUUUGGAAAUAGAGCUGGAUGCAGAGUGGAGAGUGAUAACAAGCUGAAUCCACUGGAUGAACUUCAAAGAGUAAUGGCUGCUGCUUCAUUUCUGCUUUCCAAAUCACAUUGGAUUAUCUUUUGACCACCUCUGAGAACCAUAUGGGGAAAGAGGAUUCUGGGCAAUAUUGUUCCAGGUCAAACAAGCUGAUAAACUACAAGCUGAUAAACUACAAAACAACCGCACUCCAGCUCAUGUCAGCUUGGUGUCAUUCACAUCUCUUUUAUCCAUAUUUGCAUCUAAUAGUUCUCUCUCUUGCUGCCAUGUGAAGAAG